RNAcentral lists this non-coding RNA (31 nucleotides) under Mus musculus (house mouse). The record is from RNAcentral. Lineage: Eukaryota; Metazoa; Chordata; Mammalia; Rodentia; Muridae.
UAGCAGGGCCUUUGCUGAUAAUCAUGAUGUU